UUGUUUUCACAGCAAAUAUACUAAAAUUGGAACCAUAAAGAGAAAUUAGCUUGACCUCUGUCAAGAGUGACACAUACAUUUGUGCAGUGUUCCUUAUUUAU
Small nuclear RNA from Camelus dromedarius (Arabian camel), 101 nucleotides. The record is from Ensembl. NCBI's taxonomy places the organism in Eukaryota, Metazoa, Chordata, Mammalia, Artiodactyla, Camelidae.